RNAcentral lists this long non-coding RNA (308 nucleotides) under Gadus morhua (Atlantic cod). RNAcentral describes it as "lncRNA (ENSGMOG00000036894.1)". The record is from RNAcentral. Lineage: Eukaryota; Metazoa; Chordata; Actinopteri; Gadiformes; Gadidae.
GACUCAUGAUUCCUGUCAGAGCUGACUGUCUUCUUCUUUUAUGUCUAAACACCAGGUGACAUCCAAGCAGGCUCCAGCAACAGAAGAAGAGAUGGCUGUGACUCCUGUUGAUCUGUCCUCCAAGGUUUAUGGUGAAGAUGAUUGUGAUGAUGCUGCUGCUGAAGAUGGUGGUCCAACGGAAUUUGCUAUCAGAGGAUCAUCCCUGGUGGAUUAUUCUGACACUGAUGGAACCGAUGUGGAUUGUUUAAAUGAUCAGCCAUUGGCUCCACGCUGUGAUGAAGGUGUUCCAAAGUUGAGAAGGACGAAAA